This 535-nucleotide ribosomal RNA is filed under the name Campylobacter jejuni. RNAcentral describes it as "partial 23S ribosomal RNA". It matches the Rfam family "Bacterial large subunit ribosomal RNA", at positions 1 to 555 of the family's 2925-position model. Lineage: Bacteria; Pseudomonadati; Campylobacterota; Epsilonproteobacteria; Campylobacterales; Campylobacteraceae. The record is from RNAcentral.
AAAGGUAAGCUACUAAGAGCGAAUGGUGGAUGCCUUGACUGGUAAAGGCGAUGAAGGACGUACUAGACUGCGAUAAGCUACGGGGAGCUGUCAAGAAGCUUUGAUCCGUAGAUUUCCGAAUGGGUCAACCCAAUGUAUAGAGAUAUACAUUACCUAUAUAGGAGCGAACGAGGGGAAUUGAAACAUCUUAGUACCCUCAGGAAAAGAAAUCAAUAGAGAUUGCGUCAGUAGCGGCGAGCGAAAGCGCAAGAGGGCAAACCCAGUGCUUGCACUGGGGGUUGUAGGACUGCAAUGUGCAAGAGGUAAGUUUAGCAGAACAUUCUGGAAAGUAUAACCAUAGAGGGUGAUAGUCCCGUAUGCGAAAAACAAACCUUAGCUAGCAGUAUCCUGAGUAGGGCGGGACACGAGGAAUCCUGUCUGAAUCCGGGUCGACCACGAUCCAACCCUAAAUACUAAUACCAGAUCGAUAGUGCACAAGUACCGUGAGGGAAAGGUGAAAAGAACUGAGGUGAUCAGAGUGAAAUAGAACCUGAAA